UCCUAAUGGAACUCUGAGGUCGUUUCCUAAUGGAACUCUGAGGUCGUUUCCUAAUGGAACUCUGAGGUCGUUUCCUAAUGGAACUCUGAGGUCGUUUCCUAAUGGAACUCUGAGGUCGUUUCCUAAUGGAACUCUGAGGUCGUUUCCUAAUGGAACUCUGAGGUCGUUUCCUAAUGGAACUCUGAGGUCGUUUCCUAAUGGAACUCUGAGGUCGUUUCCUAAUGGAACUCUGAGGUCGUUUCCUAAUGGAACUCUGAGGUCGUUUCCUAAUGGAACUCUGAGGUCGUUUCCUAAUGGAACUCUGAGGUCGUUUCCUAAUGGAACUCUGAGGUCGUUUCCUAAUGGAACUCUGAGGUCGUUUCCUAAUGGAACUCUGAGGUUGUUUCCUAAUGGAACUCUGAGGUUGUUUCCUAAUGGAACUCUGAGGUUGUUUCCUAAUGGAACUCUGAGGUAGUUUCCUAAUGGAACUCUGAGGUUGUUUCCUAAUGGAACUCUGAGGUUGUUUCCUAAUGGAACUCUGAGGUUGUUUCCUAAUGGAACUCUGAGGUUGUUUCCUAAUGGAACUCUGAGGUUGUUUCCUAAUGGAACUCUGAGGUUGUUUCCUAAUGGAACUCUGAGGUCGUUUCCUAAUGGAACUCUGAGGUCGUUUCCUAAUGGAACUCUGAGGUAGUUUCCUAAUGGAACUCUGAGGUAGUUUCCUAAUGGAACUCUGAGGUUGUUUCCUAUAGGGAAAUAUAGGCAUGACUGUCUAUUUCGCCAAAUAUCUCACAAUGUGUAUAUUUAGUUUCUUUUCAAGUCGGGCACCAUUUUAAAUCAGGAGAAUCUCCUCUUUGUAAUUAUGUAGAAAUAGUCAGGAAGUUGUCAUUUUUUCCACUACUUUCUCAUUACGCAGACAUGAGCACAGUUGACACCACCGGGGUGCGGAUGUUAACUUUCGACACGAGUUGUUUUUAAUCUCGUUUCGUCCGACGAACAGAUUGUUGUGGUAAAAUAAAAACGGGAUAAAAUGUUUGUUUUUUUGUUGCCAUGGCAAAAUGGAAUUCUAAGCAUCAUAGAAUCAUAGAAUGAUUUGUAAUCCUUGAGAGAACUAACUGGUGUAUGUGUUCCCUUCAGAGGGAGAAUGGGAAAGUAAAAAAAUAUUUAAGUGCCUCUGAACAGGGUAAGUAGGUGCCAGGCGCACUGGUUUCUGUCAAGAACUGCAAACGCUGCUUGGGUUUUUCCACGCUCAACAGUUUCCCAUUUGUAAUAACACACCAAUAAUAACAUAACAAUAAUAACAUAACAAUAAUAACAUAACAUAACAAUAAUAACAUAAUAAAUAAUAACAAUAAUAACAUAACAAUAAUAACAAUAAUAACAUAACAAUAAUAACAUAACAAUAAUAACAUAACAAUAAUAACAUAACAAUAAUAACAUAACAAUAAUAACA
This is a long non-coding RNA of Oncorhynchus keta (chum salmon), 1429 nucleotides long. RefSeq lists it as uncharacterized. The transcript has 3 exons. The record is from RefSeq and is a predicted model, not a curated record. Lineage: Eukaryota; Metazoa; Chordata; Actinopteri; Salmoniformes; Salmonidae.